This 536-nucleotide ribosomal RNA is filed under the name Vibrio sp. Its description in RNAcentral is "bacterial SSU rRNA". It matches the Rfam family "Bacterial small subunit ribosomal RNA", at positions 375 to 903 of the family's 1533-position model. The record is from RNAcentral. Lineage: Bacteria; Pseudomonadati; Pseudomonadota; Gammaproteobacteria; Vibrionales; Vibrionaceae.
GCGAAGCCUGAUGCAGCCAUGCCGCGUGUAUGAAGAAGGCCUUCGGGUUGUAAAGUACUUUCAGUUGUGAGGAAGGGGGUGUUGUUAAUAGCAGCUAUCUCUUGACGUUAGCAACAGAAGAAGCACCGGCUAACUCCGUGCCAGCAGCCGCGGUAAUACGGAGGGUGCGAGCGUUAAUCGGAAUUACUGGGCGUAAAGCGCAUGCAGGUGGUUCAUUAAGUCAGAUGUGAAAGCCCGGGGCUCAACCUCGGAACUGCAUUUGAAACUGGUGAACUAGAGUACUGUAGAGGGGGGUAGAAUUUCAGGUGUAGCGGUGAAAUGCGUAGAGAUCUGAAGGAAUACCAGUGGCGAAGGCGGCCCCCUGGACAGAUACUGACACUCAGAUGCGAAAGCGUGGGGAGCAAACAGGAUUAGAUACCCUGGUAGUCCACGCCGUAAACGAUGUCUACUUGGAGGUUGUGGCCUUGAGCCGUGGCUUUCGGAGCUAACGCGUUAAGUAGACCGCCUGGGGAGUACGGUCGCAAGAUUAAAACUCA